GAUCCUGGCUCAGGAUGAACGCUAGCUACAGGCUUAACACAUGCAAGUCGAGGGGCAGCAUGGUCUUAGCUUGCUAAGACUGAUGGCGACCGGCGCACGGGUGAGUAACACGUAUCCAACCUGCCGUCUACUCUUGGACGGCCUUCUGAAAGGAAGAUUAAUACAAGAUGGCAUCAUGAGUCCGCAUGUUCACAUGAUUAAAGGNUACGUUACGAGA
RNAcentral lists this ribosomal RNA (217 nucleotides) under uncultured bacterium. RNAcentral's name for it is "partial 16S ribosomal RNA". It matches the Rfam family "Bacterial small subunit ribosomal RNA", at positions 15 to 211 of the family's 1533-position model. The record is from RNAcentral.